This 781-nucleotide ribosomal RNA is filed under the name Micrococcus luteus. RNAcentral describes it as "bacterial SSU rRNA". It matches the Rfam family "Bacterial small subunit ribosomal RNA", at positions 73 to 866 of the family's 1533-position model. The record is from RNAcentral. Lineage: Bacteria; Bacillati; Actinomycetota; Actinomycetes; Micrococcales; Micrococcaceae.
GCCCAGCUUGCUGGGUGGAUUAGUGGCGAACGGGUGAGUAACACGUGAGUAACCUGCCCUUAACUCUGGGAUAAGCCUGGGAAACUGGGUCUAAUACCGGAUAGGAGCGCCCACCGCAUGGUGGGUGUUGGAAAGAUUUAUCGGUUUUGGAUGGACUCGCGGCCUAUCAGCUUGUUGGUGAGGUAAUGGCUCACCAAGGCGACGACGGGUAGCCGGCCUGAGAGGGUGACCGGCCACACUGGGACUGAGACACGGCCCAGACUCCUACGGGAGGCAGCAGUGGGGAAUAUUGCACAAUGGGCGCAAGCCUGAUGCAGCGACGCCGCGUGAGGGAUGACGGCCUUCGGGUUGUAAACCUCUUUCAGUAGGGAAGAAGCGAAAGUGACGGUACCUGCAGAAGAAGCACCGGCUAACUACGUGCCAGCAGCCGCGGUAAUACGUAGGGUGCGAGCGUUAUCCGGAAUUAUUGGGCGUAAAGAGCUCGUAGGCGGUUUGUCGCGUCUGUCGUGAAAGUCCGGGGCUUAACCCCGGAUCUGCGGUGGGUACGGGCAGACUAGAGUGCAGUAGGGGAGACUGGAAUUCCUGGUGUAGCGGUGGAAUGCGCAGAUAUCAGGAGGAACACCGAUGGCGAAGGCAGGUCUCUGGGCUGUAACUGACGCUGAGGAGCGAAAGCAUGGGGAGCGAACAGGAUUAGAUACCCUGGUAGUCCAUGCCGUAAACGUUGGGCACUAGGUGUGGGGACCAUUCCACGGUUUCCGCGCCGCAGCUAACGCAUUAAGUG